Leptonychotes weddellii (Weddell seal) is the source of this 463-nucleotide non-coding RNA. NCBI's taxonomy places the organism in Eukaryota, Metazoa, Chordata, Mammalia, Carnivora, Phocidae. The record is from RefSeq and is a predicted model, not a curated record.
UGAAAAAUUCCAUGGUAAGCCGUGAGAAAUAGCGAAAGUCGUAUAUCCCAAACACCAUUCUGCAGCGAAACGGAGGGGUUUGGAACGACUGGAAAUACUUCCACCCCAGGAAUUUCCAGGACAUCUGGUGAGAUUCUAGACGGAGCCAAGCAGACUGCACCUAUGGAUGGCAUGAGUGAGUGUCAGCAAAUGCCCAGGACACUGCUGUGGGCAGCUAAAGAGCUUCACAGGAGAACCUGCACCUUUCACUGGCCAGGCAGCUCACUCGCCAAGUCCCUAAUCUGUCACUCACAGCAUUCCAAACAGAACGAAAAGCACCAACAGGAAGCUCAAUUCUCUUUUGACUUGACACAACCUUUUGGCUGUCAAGCUCCAUCCAGAUCCCAGCAACCACCUGCUUGGAUCAGUCCUGGACAUGGACUGCUGCUGGCCUUAGGCUACUUUCUGGAAUCUUCCAAAAGUC